AUGAGCAUGGCUGAACUGGACCAACCUGUUUCUCCAACAGCUUAUGAAGAAAGCAAACUGGCUUCUUAUCCUGGCAACACAACUCUGAAAAAGCACCAAGAGACACUGCAGGCAGGACCAGUGAAAUCCAGAGUCAUCUGCGUGAAGCCGAAAUCUGAAGUUGCAGAACAGCAAGAUUUUCCAAGAGAUACAGAUCGGACGCAGAUUGAGCCCAGCAUGUAUCUUACGUCGCUUCUUUCAGGGGGAGAAGCCAAGCCCCAUUUACGCUCCCUUCCCGCGCCUGUCAAGGUACCAUCUGCUGAUAUAGACGACGAGAUUCAGAGCUUCAGUUCUUUCCAUGGGAGUUCGGGCUCAUCUGGAGCAGAUACGCUGUGAGUCCUGCCUCCACGUCCCAGCCCACAAAACCGUAGGCGGCAAGAGAAAGAGUGGGAACAGCUGGAAAUAAUGUAGCUAUCGGCAACAUUUGGACAUCAAAUCCUCGUCCUAAAGUUUUUAAUAUACCACUGUGUGUUUGUGUGUGUGUGACUUGCAUGUGAAUAUGUACGUUUAUUUUUAAAAUAAAAUAUUUCCAUUUUGAAAAUGUGUUUAAUCU
RNAcentral lists this long non-coding RNA (592 nucleotides) under Pogona vitticeps (central bearded dragon). RNAcentral describes it as "lncRNA (ENSPVIG00000007606.1)". Lineage: Eukaryota; Metazoa; Chordata; Lepidosauria; Squamata; Agamidae. The record is from RNAcentral.